AUGAACGCUGGCGGCGUGCCUAAUACAUGCAAGUCGAGCGAACAGACGAGGAGCUUGCUCCUCUGACGUUAGCGGCGGACGGGUGAGUAACACGUGGAUAACCUACCUAUAAGACUGGGAUGACUUCGGGAAACCGGAGCUAAUACCGGAUAAUAUAUUGAACCGCAUGGUUCAAUAGUGAAAGACGGUUUUGCUGUCACUUAUAGAUGGAUCCGCGCCGCAUUAGCUAGUUGGUAAGGUAACGGCUUACCAAGGCAACGAUGCGUAGCCGACCUGAGAGGGUGAUCGGCCACACUGGAACUGAGACACGGUCCAGACUCCUACGGGAGGCAGCAGUAGGGAAUCUUCCGCAAUGGGCGAAAGCCUGACGGAGCAACGCCGCGUGAGUGAUGAAGGUCUUCGGAUCGUAAAACUCUGUUAUUAGGGAAGAACAAAUGUGUAAGUAACUAUGCACGUCUUGACGGUACCUAAUCAGAAAGCCACGGCUAACUACGUG
Molecule: ribosomal RNA, 496 nt
Filed under: uncultured bacterium
Lineage: Bacteria
Description: partial 16S ribosomal RNA
Rfam family: Bacterial small subunit ribosomal RNA
Source: RNAcentral